Molecule: ribosomal RNA, 253 nt
Filed under: uncultured bacterium
Lineage: Bacteria
Description: partial 16S ribosomal RNA
Rfam family: Bacterial small subunit ribosomal RNA
Source: RNAcentral
UACGGAGGGGGCUAGCGUUGUUCGGAAUUACUGGGCGUAAAGCGCACGUAGGCGGCUUUGUAAGUUAGAGGUGAAAGCCCGGGGCUCAACUCCGGAAUUGCCUUUAAGACUGCAUCGCUAGAAUUGUGGAGAGGUAAGUGGAAUUCCGAGUGUAGAGGUGAAAUUCGUAGAUAUUCGGAAGAACACCAGUGGCGAAGGCGACUUACUGGACACAUAUUGACGCUGAGGCGCGAAAGCUAGGGGAGCAAACGGG